GACGAACGCUGGCGGCGUGCUUAACACAUGCGAGUCGAACGGAAAGGCCCUGCUUGCAGGGUACUCGAGUGGCGAACGGGUGAGUAACACGUGGGUGAUCUGCCCUGCACUUCGGGAUAAGCCUGGGAAACUGGGUCUAAUACCGGAUAGGAGCCAUUUUAGGGGGGAUGGUGGGAAGGUUUUUUCGGUGUAGGAUGAGCUCGCGGCCUAUCAGCUUGUUGGUGGGGUAAUGGCCUACCAAGGCGGCGACGGGUAGCCGGCCUGAGAGGGUGGACGGCCACAUUGGGACUGAGAUACGGCCCAGACUCCUACGGGAGGCAGCAGUGGGGAAUAUUGCACAAUGGGCGCAAGCCUGAUGCAGCGACGCCGCGUGGGGGAUGACGGCCUUCGGGUUGUAAACUCCUUUCGCUAGGGACGAAGCUUUUUGUGACGGUACCUAGAUAAGAAGCACCGGCUAACUACGUG
RNAcentral lists this ribosomal RNA (465 nucleotides) under uncultured bacterium. RNAcentral describes it as "partial 16S ribosomal RNA". It matches the Rfam family "Bacterial small subunit ribosomal RNA", at positions 28 to 507 of the family's 1533-position model. The record is from RNAcentral.